This 770-nucleotide long non-coding RNA is filed under the name Equus asinus (donkey). Its description in RNAcentral is "lncRNA (ENSEASG00005029829.1)". Lineage: Eukaryota; Metazoa; Chordata; Mammalia; Perissodactyla; Equidae. The record is from RNAcentral.
AGGACAGUCACCCUCCCAGCGUUGUAGGAGCUCCUUGCUCCAGAGAGUCAGGGAAAGCUUACCAGAGGACACGAUGCUCCUACGGAGCAUGGCAGUUCUUUACGGCGGGGCCAGGCUGAAAUUCCGUGAGAAGAAAGAACGCAGGCUGAGAGUUGAGAACUCUACAGCUGAAGGUCUUUGCCAUCUGAUUCAACCCCUGUGCUCGCUCCAGUGGGAUCUUGCACAGCUGGAGACACGGUGAGGCCACUGAGGCACAGAGAGGCAGUUGGACUCACAGUCACCCAGCUGAGGUGACAGAACCAGGAUCGGGAGGCUGGCUCCCAAGUCUACACGCUUAACCACUUGCUCUUCCCCGCCUUUGUGCUGGUCACACAACGAUGCCAAAAACCGCUUUGGGGAGCAUUUUGCCUUUAGCUGGCCUCUAUCUUGUUGACCACCCUCCUUCCACCUGCUUCCCACUCCCUGAGGUCAUUUUAUGGCUAAAUGAAUCCCAACUAAAUACUAACUCUGAGGAGGGUCCCGGUGUUUGCCACAGCAUCUGUGUUCAGAAGGUUCAUGGGUGCAAACUUCCCAUUUGGACUAAUGGGAGGGCCUGGCCUCUGAUUUGGGACGUUUGUGUCCGAAGAGGGGUGGAGAUGGUGAACCAUUCAGUCUGCUCCUUUUCGAGCUAUCAGCGUGGUCAGCUAGCAUUUUUUAAACUGUGAUUUUCCACACAUCAGUGGGUCAGGAAAACAAUUUAGUGCUUCUCAAGUCACAUUUUAUUUCAAUGA